ACUUUAAGUCAGACCCACUUUAACUCAAGCUUCUGAUGCCCUCAGAAGAGAAAGAAAGAUCAGUUUCUCAGGCUUAGUCCAUCAUCCACUGCACCUCUGUUCUGCAGGGAUGGGGACCUCUCAGGACUCUGGCUGAAUCAAGUGGGCUAGCGACUCUGUUCUGUUCUGUUAGGAACAACCAGGACGUCAAGGUAUCUCUGCCGGAGACCUUGUUUCCCAUGGAUCUGCUCAACUCACAGCCCAGUGUGCAGGACCUCAGCGCGCUUUGGGAUACUGUUCCCACUGGCAGUGUGGUGUCACUGUACAACUAAAGUCCCUCUCUGCCUUCUCCGAGGAGCCACAUCCAGCUCAGAUACUCUGUGUGCCCUGGCUGAAGCAAACGCCUCAGAGCCCAGGAACCCGGGGGGCCGGGAGGACACGGGGCAAGACCGCCUGUGCGCUGCACCAAGCAAGGACUCCCUUUUAUGUCCAGGAAUGAGGCGCCCCAGCACCCGGGCGCGCAAACGGCGGCUGUGGCUUACCUGUCGCGGCGCGCGUCUGCAGGACGGUGGAAAGCAGCGUGGAGAUGAUGGAGAGCAGCCACCUCGGGCGCCGGCCCUGCGCGGUCCUCCUGCAAGAAGCGGUGGCAGAGAAGGACUUCAUGGGGCCGGAAGUGUAAGAUGCGGUGGGGCUCGUCUGCUGUGCACACACAAGCCCCUUGCAAAGGCACAGGAAAUAAUAUGUGGACAACUUUGAACAAUGCAGUGACAAGAGCCUGGACCCGCUGGGUGGAGGGUUCCAUCUCUCUGUACCUAAGAUCUCCCCAGCCUUCAUCAACAGUGUUCAAUCUGCUGCCAUUAAGUCUCUAUCGCAAGUGAUCUCAUCCCUUCUCCCAGUGUCUCUGUAACAGCGUUCUCAACAACCAUUUUAUCGACAAGUUUGAAAGAUACCCUUCCAGAAAAUGGAGUCCAACUCCUCACCUUGGACAUCCCCCCACACACACACAUCCUGCCUCAGUUUCCUACUUCCUUGGUUUUUGGGACUCUCUGUUCCCACACAGAUAGCCCACUCCAAAAUACUGCCUGUCCUCCUCGUGCACUACCUGUGUAGCCAGGUGUUUGCGCACCCCAAUACCCACUCUCACUCCCACUUCUAGCCUGGAGAACCCUGCCUCAGCCAAGCACCCCUACUUAGUGUCAUCCCACCAACAAGCUAGCAAAGGAAAAGCUUUGCUUCUGCUGUGGCCUCUGUUCUUAGAACCUAUAUGAGAUGAUGCUGGCUGGCAUGGUUCAGACCAUCAGGACAUCCUUAGCUCUUAGCUCAAAGGCUCAGCGCAGCAGCUAGGGCAGGGCUGUGCCCUCAACCCCAUGACAGAGAUGAGGAAGCCAAUAACACUAACCUUCUUGAAGUCAGUUAGUGGAUAAAGGGCAGAACCUUCCGGCUUCCCGUUCAUAUUUCAUUCAUUGUUUCACUGGCCUUCCCAGAAGAGCAACAGAACUGAUCAGGUCCACCUCACUGUCCACACAGCACAAGAAAAGAUUGCUUGGGAGUUUUCCUACCAACAUGCUGGGUCUGACAUGCUAUCUGUGGUUGGAAUAGGCUUAGCCUCCACCCCUCCUACCCCCAUGCCCAAAAGCUGCCUGUGGUCUGUGAGUACCUAGGAAAGAACAGGGUUUCUGGAACUCUAGAAAAACUCAGAAGCACAAAGUGUCUCAGAAAAGACUGUCCCCAGAAACAAAUAAAAUAAAACAUAACUUUUUAUAUUUGUCUCAUUGGGAAAGGCAAGUUUUAAUUACUCAGAAAACUAUCAGAGCAGCCCUUUUGCCAAAAUGCUAACAUGCACAUGUUAUGAGGGAUUUUUUUUUUCUUUGUAAGCCAAAUUUCCUCUCUCAUGUUUGGGGACCUCAUGAAAUGGAACACCUACCUUCUUCAAAAGAUACUUUGAAGCCAUAAAAAUGUUCAUAGGCUUUGACUCAGUAAUCCCUUUCUGGGAAGCUAGCCUAAGAAAAUACCCUGAAAUAUGGCAAAAGCCAUAUGCAGAAAAAUAUCUAUCAAGGAGCUACUCAGUUAAAAACUGGACUCAACCCAAAGAUUCAAUGAAGGGAAAGGAGGGCAGUUAAGUCUAAACCUUGAAGAAAUAUUCUGUAGCCAUUAAAGAUGAGGGGUAUACAAUUUAUGAAGGGUCACAGAAAAUGCUUAUGAUAAAAUAUUAGGUGGAAACGCCUGGAAAAAUAUUGAAAUGCACACAAGUUGUAAAAGCAAUAAGGAAAUGUAGAAAACGUAGUUGUCACAACGUCAAAACAGCGGGCUUAUGGAUUUGUACCUUGUUUUCAAUUUUCCUUCUUGUUAUCUUAUCACCACUUUCCCAUAACAGUUGGAAUUUCUUUAAGAAAAAGCAAUGGAUGUUACUAGUUAUUUCUCCAGGAAAAAUACACCAAUAAUAAAGAUUAGACGUCGGGAGGAAAAGCGUCCUGCCCAUCACUCAUUGUCCUUAGAAGACAUCGAUUUUUCAAAUGAGGUCAAUAAAAAAAACGUAUGCAAAAAAG
Long non-coding RNA from Rattus norvegicus (Norway rat), 2525 nucleotides. RefSeq lists it as uncharacterized. NCBI's taxonomy places the organism in Eukaryota, Metazoa, Chordata, Mammalia, Rodentia, Muridae. The record is from RefSeq and is a predicted model, not a curated record.